CCCUUAGAUGUUCUGGGCCGCACGCGCGCUACACUGAUGCAUUCAACGAGCCUAGCCUUGACCGAGAGGUCCGGGUAAUCUUUGAAACUGCAUCGUGAUGGGGCUAGAUUAUUGCAAUUAUUAAUCUUCAACGAGGAAUGCCUAGUAAGCGUGAUUCAUCAAAUCGCGUUGAUUACGUCCCUGCCCUUUGUACACACCGCCCGUCGCUCCUACCGAUUGAGUGUGUUGGUGAGGAGUUUGGAUUGGCCUCGGAAGGUUGUUCGCCACCGUCCGUAGCUGAGAAGUUCUCCAAACCGCCCCACUUAGAGGAAGGAGAAGUCGUAACA
RNAcentral lists this ribosomal RNA (326 nucleotides) under uncultured eukaryote. Its description in RNAcentral is "partial 18S ribosomal RNA". It matches the Rfam family "Eukaryotic small subunit ribosomal RNA", at positions 1470 to 1796 of the family's 1831-position model. The record is from RNAcentral.